This is a long non-coding RNA of Dermochelys coriacea (leatherback sea turtle), 7692 nucleotides long. RefSeq lists it as uncharacterized. Lineage: Eukaryota; Metazoa; Chordata; Testudines; Dermochelyidae. The transcript is spliced from 2 exons. The record is from RefSeq and is a predicted model, not a curated record.
UUUGUGCUUUUAGGAGAAAAGCAUACUUACUAUAUCAGUAAGAUCCACUUUUGAUUUGUUGUCCAUUUUAUGGUCUGAAAAGACUGUUGGUGUAGAAAUUAAAAGAUGGUCUCUGAAAGUAAGAAAAAUAAAAUAGAUCAAAUAAUGCUACAGGUUCAAUUAUUUUAUAUAAAAUAAUUCACACACAUGCUAUUUCAAAUAUAUUUUAAUUUUUGUGCAUAACAAAGUACUUAUAUUCACAAAUAUUUUAAAAGAACACAAUAUUUUAUUUGAAUACAUACUGACUCUAAUAUAAAUUUGAGUGUAAACCUAUUUUAUUAUAAGCUAAAUUGUACCAAAUUUCACCAAAAGAAACAAAGUUACUCACCUGGCACAGAAAGACAUGAUGUAAUCAAUUUAGGUGUUGGCUUGAGAUGGGAUUUAUCUGAUUUCUGUACAACUAGUUUCAAGUAAUGACUUCACAAUGAGUUUAACAUGGAGCCUGUGACCUUAUUAUGUGUGAAGCAGCAGUAUCAUCAUUUGAUACCUUAAACUGAGUUGCUGUAUUGUGAGAUUUAUUACUGCUUAAAAGCUGUCUUAAAAAGUGGUUAUUAGCAUAGAAGUGCACCAAUUAAUUAAGUGGAUCAUUGAUACAGAAAGGAAGGAAGACUUUAGAUUUGAAAAUGUGUUCUUAUGAACAGGCACAAAAGGGACUACAGCGCUAUGGCAAAAAGAGGAAGAAUAGUUUUCCUCCUUAAUCCAGGAAAACCCACUACACCAAUUUAUUGGGAAAUACCACGUGUGACUCUUAAAUUUUUAAAAAAAUCUGUAGUUUUGUGUCCUCAGUUUCCUGCUGCCAGGGCCUAUCACAAGUGAACAUUCCAAAUUAUUUCAAUCGGUCCAUUGGAUUCUCUCAGCUCCAUGCUUACCUUGCAUGUUCUACAACACUGGAUGCUCAAAGCUUCAACAUAGAAUCAUGUACUUUGGUGCUGUUGACACCAUCACACUAUGUAGACAGUGUAAGAGUAGUUUUUUAAAUGUUAAAUAGUUCUUGGCAGAAUAUCAUCAGUAAAUUGUAACUUAUUUGCAAUAUGCUAUAUUAGUACUCAAGACCAUACAAGGAAAUUGAUUUAUAAGCAAAACAUACUUUACCCUAAUUUUGCUCAGCUAAAGUAUGGAAACUAUCGUGUAGUUAAAACAUAAAUAUUUCAAAUGGAUCCUUUGAAUUAAGGUAAUAUGUGCUCAAUGAACCUUCCAGCCAUUCAGAAAGGACUAAAGUCUGGGGUUAUUUAUUGAAUAAAACUCCCAUUGAAUUUACCAAUCCUUAGUUCUUAGCAAUGUAAAAAACACAUACUAACUAAUCAGACUGAGAGCUUUCUCCAUAAUAACCAAAUGUAGAAUGUGGUUGUAGAUACAAAGAACCAAAUGUUACCCUUAAUUACACCUACGUUUUGACUCCCAGUGAUGCAUGAUUGGACCUCAUAUCCAAAUAUAACAGUUCAUAUGCCCAUCAUAUUUAAUGGCUGAAGUCAGUUAUCCAGAAGGAAAAAAUUAAAUACUUUUUAAUUCCCAUUCUUCAGCUGAUAUUAAACAAACUUACUUAUGGGUUUUAGUUCUGAGGUCUAUACAUUAUUUAUUUGUAAGUUAAAAUAUGAACAGGGAAUGUUGAAGUGUUCGGUGACUUUUUUUUUGGCCUUUUCUGGAACUAAGAUGAUCAGUAAAAUAAGUACAUUCACUAAAAUAGUCACAUUGUGGAAUGCUCGUGGGAGACUACAGUAAUUAAUUUUACACUGAAAUUGUACUAUGUGAAUGCAAUUAUUACUCUUCAAAGGCAGCCAUUGAAGGGUGAGCAGACCAUUUAGCAGGCCAGGGCAUUGGCAAAGAGGGAGACUACAGGGUGGCUUUGUAAUCUGCAUCAUCAGAGUUUCCACAAAAUAUGUUUCUCAACCAAGAAUUAUAUGGUGAUGGUGAAGUAAGGAAAAUGACAUGAAAUCGGCCUGAAUAUCUUGUUACCUGGACUUGAAGUAAGUUUAGGACUGUGUUAGCAACCUUGAGACCAGAUUCUGAUAUCUUUACUCACAAAGAAUAGUAUUGCAAACCAUGAGUAGGCUCACUGAAAUCUCUGGGACUACUUUACUUGCAGUGUGGGGCAAUGCUUAGUGUGAGUAAACAGCAGAAUGCGGCUCUAGCUAAUUAUGAGACUAUAUUCCCCUUCUUUCAGUUCUGUAAGGAAAAGUGACUGCACUUCAGCUCCCUGGUGAAAAGUGGUUGCAGUCUGAAGAUGUUAUAGUUUAACCAUGUUUUAGCAUCUGGAAUAAAUAGGCUUCUAAUCAAUGGGAUAGUAUUCCCUGCUUAAUUCAGUAGUGUUUUUCUAGGAUACAUUUUUUCAAUGGGGUUGUCUGUGAAAUAGUACUUUUUAAUGUGUGAAUUAAAUAAAGGACCAAGUUACUGGCAGAUAUGUGUUGAGGUGUGAGUGGGACACUUGAUGCUAAUUAGUUGUGGUGUUGCAUCAGGGAGGUUCAAGCAUUAGCGAUACACAGGAAUACAUUUUAUUUUUGAGGCCUGCAUACUGAGUGAAACAAAGGUACAGCUAUAGUAAGCUUUACCAUUUUUACUUAUUUUCUCUCUAAGCAUAGAUUGCCUCCCCCCUCAAAUAAAGAUGAGCUUUUUGCUAGAUAAAUGUUUGAGAGGAAACUGACUUUUUUUAAAAAAGUAAAGAUACAGAUACUUUAAUAUCAGUUGUGCUACACAAAAUGAAGUGAAAUUUGUUUUUGUUAGCUAUAGAUAACCACUUAAAAAUGGACCCCAAGCCCAGGGACAGUGAAUGCUAUAUUUCCUUUCAGAUUGUAAUAAACACAGUAAGGCAACUGGAUAAAAAAUUUCACAGUACUGAUGAAGGGGUUACUUUUCAGCUUGGUUGAAAAGUGAUCAUACUGCUGUAUUUGACAGAGGUUGGAGUUCACAAUUGGAAACUUUAAAUUACAGCCUAUUGCUAGGCAAAACAUUGGUCCAUCUAGCCAAGUAUCCUGUCUUCUGACAGCAGCCAGUGCUAGAGGCUUUGGAGGGAAUAGACAAAACAGGGCAAUUAUCAAGUGAUCCAACUCCUGUUGUCCAGUUGGAGGCUCUCCCAGAUGGAGGUUUAGGGACAGCUUGAGCAUUGGCUCAUUCCCCUGACCAUCUUCGCUAAUAGGGACUGAAGCCUUUUUUCUCCAUGAAUGUAAUACUUUUUUUUAAACCCAGUUUUGGCCUUCUCACCAUCCUAUCGCAAUGAGUUCCACAGGUUGACUGGGCUUUGUGUGAAGUACUUUUUGUCUUAAACCUGUUACCUAUUAAUUUCAUUGGGUAACCCCUGGUGGUUAUGUUAUGUGAAGGGAUAAGUCACACUUUCCUAUUCAUUUUCUCACCCUCAUUCAUGAUUUUAUAGCUAUCAAUCGUAUACCCCCUUGCUUAUACCACAAAUGCUUAUUCAAACUAUGUGGUGCCUCAGAAAAGUUGUGCUAGUCUCUAUGAUUUUCUACUGAAGAGCAUAUCAGCUCAAAUUGAGCCAACUGGGCUAUAAGUAGUUUGACAAAUUUAGGAUUUUAAACAAUUCUAUCUACAGGACCCCUGCCCCAAGCUUUUCCCCCACCCCAUUUCAUGGAUGAGGUAUGUUAUUCUCAGCUAUAUGAAUAAUAGGCCUCUAUGCUAGAGUGUAUUAAUUUAGAUCAUCCUUGAAAAGGUACCAGCAAGACAACUUGUUUGUGUAGGUACAGCUAAUUUACUCCCUUUUGUUAGAGAUGAGGAGAAAUUGUUUCUCUAUAAAGCCACUGCCAAAAGCCAACUUGUUUGCUUAAUUUGAUUACCUAUUCCUCAAACUUAAUUUCUAUCGCAAUUGCUCAUGUGUUCUUUAAUGAAGCCUGAUUUUCUUCAGUUCCCUUUUCCACUGGGUUAUCCAACAGUCCCAAUUUUUUUUAAAUCAAGAAAGUAACAAUACCUCCUGUCAGGGUUCCUUCCCUACUCUGAACUCUAGGGUACAGAUGUGGGGACCUGUAUGAAAGACCCCUAAGCUUAUUCUUACUAGCUUAUGUUAAGAACUUCUAGGUACAAAUUUUGCCUUGUCCUUGAACAGUAUGCUGCCACCACCAAGUGUUUUAAACGAAGAACAGAGAGACCACUUAGAGACAUCUUUCCUCCAAAAUAUCCCCCCAAACCCUACACACCCCCUUUCCUGAGGAGGCUUGAGUGUAAUAUCCUAACCCAUUAGUUACAAAAUCAAAGGCCCAAACACCUGGAUCUUGGGACAAUGGAAAAGUCAGGUUCUUAAAAAGGGUUUUAUUAAAAAAAAAAAAAAAAAGUAAAAAUCAUCUCUGUAAAAUCAGGAUGGAAAAUACUUUACAGGGUAUUCAGAUUCAAAACACAGAGGAUCCCCCUCUGGGCAAAACCUGAAAGUUACAGAAAACAGGAAUAAACCUCAACACAGGGAAAAUUCACACAACACAAAAAAACUAACCCGCCUUGCCUGGCUUCCCUAUACUGCAAUAUUGGAGACUUGGAUAAGGAUGGGUUGGAGAAGAUGGAUUUCUGUCUGGCCUCUCAGUCCCAAGAGAAACACCACAUAAAAAAAGAGCACAAAACAAAAAGCCUCUUAGAAAUACAUGCAUGGCCACAGAUGAAGUGAUUCAUCUUAUCUGGACUUCCGCCAGCUGCAAUAGCAUUAAAAAAAAAAAUAGUGAACACUCAGUGUGUCCAUACCCAUGCAAUCCUAAGGAAAUAUUCUAGGUAUUGAUAUGUACUUAGGGAAAACAAAACAUGCACACAACCUUUGUUCAAAUAUAUUGAAUGCUUAUAACUUUGCUGUCUGGACUCUUUUUGAAGAUAGAAAUUUCCGAAAGCCAUGUUCUUAAUGAGCUAAAUUUAGGGCUUGUACACACCAGUGCUUACUUCAGUAUAAUGAAAGUCAUGCACAGGCAUGGAAAAGUGAUACAAGUUACACAGAUCUAAGUGCUGGUGUGGACAAUGCUGAUGGCAGGAGAAGCUGUCCUGCUGACACAGCUACUGCUGCUCGGGGAGGUGGAGUGAUGCCGACAGGAGAGCUCUCUUCUGUCAGCAUGGAAUACAGUGGUACAGCUACAUCAGUACAUCUGCGCCACUGUAGAGAUUCUAGUGUAGACUAGCCCUUAUGUUGCCUGUAUACAUUAAUAUAAGGUCUAGCUUACACACAGGAUUCACUCUAAACUGCAUUGGUCACUUGGCAUAUACACAUGAUGUCCUCGCACAGUAGGUAGAGCAAGUCAUGUGAAACAGACCUAAACCUGGGCCAGACAGGGUUGAAAGAUGUAGGUAUUCCAUAUUCCAAAGUAAACUGUUUAGCAUGCUUUAUAGGAAAUAUCCGUUUAAACAAUUUGGUUUAGAUGGUCACCAACUUUAGAACCUUUAGUCUUUAUCUGAUCAUUUUGAACAUUAGAAUCUGAUACCUAGAAAAGUCUUCAUUACUCAGCAUUUUUUAUUCACAUCACAGAAAAUACACACAGUUUGGUCCUAUUAUAUAGCAUCUUUGGAAGUUUAAGCAAACAAGUUUAGCGAAGUGUCUGACAUGACAUUACAGCUUAGUGUUCCUUUCAACAUACUAAAAUAGGAAACCUUCAAACCUCUUAGUAAACAGAGUGGUGACGUAUUGCUUUGAAAUGCUAUGGUACAACAGCUAAGUAUUAUCAAGUGUUUACACAUUGCUGUUCAGAAUCAUAGCUUUGCACAAAUAUGCAGUUACAUAAAUUGUUUUAAAUACCUGGCAUAAAAAAAGUAACACUUCAAUGUUCAGCUCUCAAACAAAAAAAAAUAUAAAAAUAAUGCAGAUUAAGUGCAAAUACAAGCGAGUCUCUACAUGAAUACAAAACCUUUAAAAAUUAAAUACUGACUUCAUUUAGUCACUUAAGUGCUAGUCUUUUUACCAGGCUUGAACAAAAAAAUUGAUUUGUGAAACUUGUUUUAAAAGAAAAAUACCCAAGAUUUAUUCAUUCUUCAUAGGUUUAUUCCUUUCGCAUCCAUGGAAUCCCUUAGUACCAUCAGGACCUUUGGGUAACCGCAAUACUCCUACAGGUAACCCAUCUGCAUUUUGUAUUUUCCGGGCAAGCAUUGGGCUACUUGCUGGACUUUGUUCUUGCGUUACAGUUUGAGCUUGUCUUCUCCUCUGAACCCAGGGGCUACUAGAAGGAGUAAUACUACUAUCUGAAGAGUAAUCUGCACAUUUCCUUGAGAUUUCAGGGCUAGUGCUAGGGUUAAGUUUGCCAUCUUCAGCAAGCGGAGACUUCUUGGACACUUUGCGCAGAGAAGAUGGGCUAUUCCAGGGGCUUGACCUAGGUGAAACAUUAGGGCUCAGGUGAUUGUUCUGAUAGGUGGUAGGGCUCAAUUUGCUGGAAGUAUUAGUCUUGCGACCAGACAGUGGAGAUGUAGGAUUACUCUCUGGAUCAGAAGAGCUGUUUGCUGAUGAUUCAUCCCCAACAUACUGAAGUUCCUCAACUCUCUUAUUCAGGGAUUUAAUUUUGUUGAGAGACUUGCUGGGAUCUUCAUCAUGGUUCUUUUCUUUCACAGUUUUUUUCUUUGGAGGCUUCAUACCUAUCAGGGUAACUUUCAUGCCAAUUUCAUUAUUCUUUUCAAUACACAUGAUUUCAUGAGCUUUAAUUGCUGCAUCUAUUUCUUCAAACUCUAUUAUUGCACAUUCCUUUGUUCCAACUUGGGUGUAUCGAUUACUGAAUCUCUUGACAUCAGGUGGAAGAUCCUUACCAGGUUUGAGAAUGCGAACUGAUGAGAUUACACCAAAAGUAACAAAGGUCUUGAGAAGAUGCUCCAUCAUCUUUUCUUGCAUGCAUCCAUUUUCUUGAUCCUGGCUCAGAACCUGUAGCUCAGAAAUUAAGUGGAUAUCAUACACAAGCAGCAUCUUGCUAGGCAGGGUCUCACUGGCAAACACUGGAACUGGGGUAUUUCUUCUAACCUUUCUGCUAUCUUCAUUCAGCUCAAGAAUGUCUGAAUACUUCAAGGCAUAGGCUGUGAUUCUCCAGUCUCUGGUAAGAUGUUUUACCUUUAAGAAAAAGGGUUACACUUUAAUGCAGCUCAUUAAAACACCAGAACUAUAGUUCUCUACAGCUAUUGAAAACCUGAGACCGAUACAGGGUUGGAUUUCAAAUGAAAGAUCAGCCAAAGUCUUCUAUAGUAUUCCUCCUGAACAGAAAGGAGGUUUAAAAAUGUUUCCCUACUGUCACUGUGACCAUCAGUACGAUGUUGUGAACUUCCUGUUCCUUUUACAUGAUUGGAGAUCAAAGUCAUCACCAACUGUAGACUUACCCAGACUAAACAAGUCAUUACUUCUGUAGCUAUUAUAUGCCUCUUCAAGAGUUCUUAGAAUCUUUCUACUCCCAUCUCAUUGUAGAGGCAUGCUUAUACUGCCUAUUCAACAGUUGCUUUGCUUGGUGCAUCAAAUUCCAAACAGGUAGCCUCCCCCUCUGUCCCAUUACCUUAUUUUUGUGCUUAAAUUUAGAAAACUAUUAAACAGAGUCCCUACCCUUAAUAGUUAAGAGGCACUUCCAUAGUGCCUUUCAGAAUAUCAAAAUAUCAGGCCUAGGACCCACAAGUCCUGCCUCUCAGGGCACUAUAGCUAUUGGACCAAACUGUACAGCCAAGUUAAGUCUGCAAAGGUCAAAAGACAUUAAACUCAUCAGGAUGGUGCUGGCUCAAAAAAAA